This 1325-nucleotide long non-coding RNA is filed under the name Manacus vitellinus (golden-collared manakin). RNAcentral describes it as "lncRNA (ENSMVIG00005009495.1)". The record is from RNAcentral. Lineage: Eukaryota; Metazoa; Chordata; Aves; Passeriformes; Pipridae.
CAUCCCAAAAAUCCCUCAGGGAUGCUCAGCCAUCCCAAAAAUCCCCAGGGAUGGGACACAAGGGGGCUCAGCCAUCCCCAAAAAAAACAGGGAAGGGACAAGGGGGCUCAGUCAUCCCCCAAAAAAACAGGGAAGGGACAAGGGGGCUAAGCCAUCCCAAAAAUCCCCCAUGGGAGCUCAACUAUCCCAAAAAUCCCCAGGGACAGACACAGGGGGCUCAGCCAUCCCAAAAAAACCCAGGGACAGACACAGGGAGAUUCAACCAUCCCAAAAAUCCCCCAGGGGUGCUCAGUCAUCCCAAAAAUCCCCAGGAGGGGACACAAGGGGGCUCAGCCAUCCCAAAAAUCCCCAGGAAAGGGACAUAUGGAGGCUCAGCCAUCCCAAAAAUCCCCAGGGAUGCUCAGCCAUCCCAAAAAUCCCCAGGGAAUGGACAAGGGGGCACAACCAUCCCAAAAAAAACCCAGGAGAGGACACAAGGGGGCUCAGCCAUCCCAAAAAUCCCCAGGGAUGGAACAUGAAGGCACAACCAUCCCAAAAACUCCUAUGGGAGCUCAGCCAUCCCAAAAAUCCCCAGGGAAGGGACAGGGGGCUCAGCAAUCCCAAAAAAACCCAGGAAGGGACAGGGGGCUCAGCAAUCCCAAAAAAACCCAGGAAGGGACAGGGGGCUCAGCAAUCCCAAAAAAACCCAGGGAGAGACACAGGGAGAUUCAACCAUCCCAAAAAUCCCCCAGGGGUGCUCAGCCAUCCCAAAAAUCCAGUUGGAUGGAACAAGGGGGGCUCAGCCAUCCUAAAAAUCCCCAGGGAUGCUCAGCCAUCCCAAAAAAUCCCAUGGAUGCUCAGCCAUCCCAAAAACUCCUAUGAGAGCUCAGCCACCCCAAAAAUCCCCAGGGAAGGGACACAAGGGGGGCUCAGCCAUCCCAAAAAUCCCCAGGGAAGGGAGAGCAGGCUCAGCCAUCCCAAAAAUCCCCAGGGAUGGGACACAAGGGGGGCUCAGCCAUCCCAAAAAUCCCUCAGGGGAGCUCAGCCAUCCCAAAAAUCCCCAGGGAGAGACACAGGGAGACUCAGCCAUCCCAAAAACCCCCAUGAGAGCUCAGCCAUCCCAAAAAUCCCCAGGGAGAGACACAGGGAGACUCAGCCAUCCCAAAAACCCCCAUGAGGCUCAGCCAUCCCAAAAAUCCCCAGGGAAGGGAGAGUGGGCUCAGCCAUCCCAAAAAUCCCCAGGGAUGCUCAGCCAUCCCAAAAAUCCCCAGGAAAGGGACACAAGGGGCACAACCAUCCCAAAAAUCUCGCCCAGGAGAGGCUCCACCCCCGGAAUUCCCGGCAGG